CCUACGGGGUGCAGCAGUGGGGAAUAUUGGACAAUGGGCGAAAGCCUGAUCCAGCCAUGCCGCGUGUGUGAAGAAGGCCUUCGGGUUGUAAAGCACUUUCAGUGGGGAAGAAAGCCUUGGGGCUAAUACCCUCGAGGAAGGACAUCACCCACAGAAGAAGCACCGGCUAACUCCGUGCCAGCAGCCGCGGUAAUACGGAGGGUGCGAGCGUUAAUCGGAAUUACUGGGCGUAAAGCGCGCGUAGGCGGUCUGAUAAGCCGGUUGUGAAAGCCCCGGGCUCAACCUGGGAACGGCAUCCGGAACUGUCAGGCUAGAGUGCAGGAGAGGAAGGUAGAAUUCCCGGUGUAGCGGUGAAAUGCGUAGAGAUCGGGAGGAAUACCAGUGGCGAAGGCGGCCUUCUGGACUGACACUGACGCUGAGGUGCGAAAGCGUGGGUAGCAAACAGGAUUAGAUACCCUGGUCGUC
Molecule: ribosomal RNA, 465 nt
Filed under: Vreelandella stevensii
Lineage: Bacteria; Pseudomonadati; Pseudomonadota; Gammaproteobacteria; Oceanospirillales; Halomonadaceae
Description: partial 16S ribosomal RNA
Rfam family: Bacterial small subunit ribosomal RNA
Source: RNAcentral